RNAcentral lists this ribosomal RNA (468 nucleotides) under uncultured bacterium. RNAcentral's name for it is "partial 16S ribosomal RNA". It matches the Rfam family "Bacterial small subunit ribosomal RNA", at positions 28 to 507 of the family's 1533-position model. The record is from RNAcentral.
GACGAACGCUGGCGGCGCGCCUAACACAUGCAAGUCGAACGGAGCUGAGAGAAGCUUGCUUUUCUUAGCUUAGUGGCGAACGGGUGAGUAACGCGUGAGUAACCUGCCCUGGAGUGGGGGACAACAGUUGGAAACGACUGCUAAUACCGCAUAAGCCCACGAUCCGGCAUCGGAUUGAGGGAAAAGGAUUUAUUCGCUUCAGUAUAGACUCGCGUCCAAUUAGCUAGUUGGUGAGGUAACGGCCCACCAAGGCGAGGAUUGGUAGCCGGACUGAGAGGGUGAACGGCCACAUUGGGACUGAGACACGGCCCAGACUCCUACGGGAGGCAGCAGUGGGGGAUAUUGCACAGUGGGGGAAACCCUGAUGCAGCGACGCCGCGUGGAGGAAGAAGGUUUUCGGAUUGUAAACUCCUGUCGUUAGGGACGAUAAUGACGGUACCUAACAAGAAGGCACCGGCUAACUACGUG